RNAcentral lists this ribosomal RNA (306 nucleotides) under Triticum aestivum (bread wheat). RNAcentral's name for it is "partial small subunit ribosomal RNA". The record is from RNAcentral. Lineage: Eukaryota; Viridiplantae; Streptophyta; Magnoliopsida; Poales; Poaceae.
AUGACGCGAUGGGAGAACUUCAAAGUCAAGGCGGCUGUCGGCUCUGUUCGACCUCCUGAACCCGACGCAACUUUUCACUGUCGUCUGAUUCCAGAAGGAUAUGCUAGGGUGAUGGUGGACGAAAUAACGGAGGGAUUUGAGGACCUCCAGCUUGACCACCCUACCGGUGAAGGGGAGACUCGGCUGGGUUCUGCUCUGAAGACUCCAUGCCUAUGGCGGAAGGAGCUCAUCAACCUUCCGAACUGGACGCCUCCGGCGAGUAAGGGCACUCCGCCUCCUCCUCCGGCGAGUGAUCAGGGCACUUAG